CCUAAUACAUGCAAGUCGAGCGGACAGAUGGGGGCUUGCUCCCUGAUGUUAGCGGCGGACGGGUGAGUAACACGUGGGUAACCUGCCUGUAAGACUGGGAUAACUCCGGGAAACCGGGGCUAAUACCGGAUGGUUGUUUGAACCGCAUGGUUCAGACAUAAAAGGUGGCUUCGGCUACCACUUACAGAUGGACCCGCGGCGCAUUAGCUAGUUGGUGAGGUAACGGCUCACCAAGGCAACGAUGCGUAGCCGACCUGAGAGGGUGAUCGGCCACACUGGGACUGAGACACGGCCCAGACUCCUACGGGAGGCAGCAGUAGGGAAUCUUCCGCAAUGGACGAAAGUCUGACAGAGCAACGCCGCGUAAGUGAUGAAGGUUUUCGGAUCGUAAAGCUCUGUUGUUAGGGAAGAACAAGUGCCGUUCAAAUAGGGCGGCACCUUGACGGUACCUAACCAGAAAGCCACGGCUAACUACGUGCCAGCAGCCGCGGUAAUACGUANGUGGCAAGCGUUGUCCGGAAUUAUUGGGCGUAAAGGGCUCGCAGGCGGUUUCUUAAGUCUGAUGUGAAAGCCCCCGGCUCAACCGGGGAGGGUCAUUGGAAACUGGGGAACUUGAGUGCAGAAGAGGAGAGUGGNAUUCCACGUGUAGCGGUGAAAUGCGUAGAGAUGUGGAGGAACACCAGUGGNGAANGCGACUCUCUGGUCUGUAACUGACGCUGAGGAGCGAAAGCGUGGGGAGCGAACAGGAUUAGAUACCCU
This 759-nucleotide ribosomal RNA is filed under the name Bacillus subtilis. RNAcentral describes it as "bacterial SSU rRNA". It matches the Rfam family "Bacterial small subunit ribosomal RNA", at positions 47 to 788 of the family's 1533-position model. The record is from RNAcentral. Lineage: Bacteria; Bacillati; Bacillota; Bacilli; Caryophanales; Bacillaceae.